This is a long non-coding RNA of Papaver somniferum (opium poppy), 2143 nucleotides long. RefSeq lists it as uncharacterized. The transcript has 2 exons. Lineage: Eukaryota; Viridiplantae; Streptophyta; Magnoliopsida; Ranunculales; Papaveraceae. The record is from RefSeq and is a predicted model, not a curated record.
UUUUCCCCCUUUCUUUCUUCUUCUUCUUCCUCUCGAUUUCUUCUGAGAACAACAAUCUUUAUCAACCAGAGAUGGAGGCUUCGAGAUUGAAAUAAGAGGAGAUUGAUCCUGCAUUAGAUAACGGUAGCGGUGUUGUUCUCAAUAGCUGAUUCUGACCCAAGGAAACAAGAUAAUUCAGAGAGAACUGGAGAUUAGGUUUUUCAGAUUAGGCCUUGAGAUUUUAUUGAAUUGAUAGGUGUUUUGAGUUGCUGAUGGAUGAAGAAUGAAAUGGAAUUGUUAUCGUGGAGUUAAUUGAAUUGUUAUCGUGGAGUCAAUUUCAUUCAGAAUCAGAGGCACUUUAGGGUUUCUUAUUUGAUUUUCUUUUAAUUUGAAAUUGAGUAUGAAUUGAUGAUUUAUUUCAUGGGUUUACUUAAAUCAAAGUUGUAGGAAUCGUAUGUGGUUAAGUUUUGGGCUCUUUUGUACCAUUGUGUUCCACAUAAUCUUAAGAAGUGUGGAACAAUAUACUGUUGAAAGUUGAUUCGCCAAGAAACAUGUGUACUGUGUCCAUGUAUAGUUUCGAUUUGGAGCUAGGUUGCGUGUGUGUAUUGUCCAUGUAUAGUUUUGAUUCAGAGCUAGGUUGUGUGCAUUAAAUGAUCAUUCGGAGUAGUAUGUAUGUUUGAGGUUGUACUUUGAUCUGUAUUAUUCACCAUAAAUGAAGAUUGAUUUUUGUUUAUUUAGUUUAACAAUGUUAUGAGCCAACUUUGCCAGAGAUGAAACAUUACAGUUUAUAGAACGCCUAGAUAUCGUGCAGCUAUGUGACGAUUUUUUUUAACUAUGUGACGGAUUAUCGCCUAGAUGUGCAGACCACCAUGAGAGAAAAUAUAUCUUGGAUUCAUGGUGACUACACAAGUGAUUUUUAGUUAGGGUUACAGCGUUAUUAGUUCGUGAAGAUAAAGGAAGACGAGAUAGUUUAUUAAUUCGUUAAGUUAAGAUUGUUGUGGUAUUAAGUUGUAGAGAACAAAUUGAAGACGAAUAGUAACAAUAAUCGAUCAAAACUAUGCAGAAGAAGAGAUGGGUGAUGGUGUGGUGGAGUUAUUGUUGAGAUUGAUGUGAGUAUUGCAGGUACAAAGCUUCUGAGAUGGUGAUGAAGCAUGUGAUGCAGACAUAAUUUGAGGUGGUAGCAGGUACAUGACGGUGUUACUGUUAUGCUGAGGCAUUGGUGCCAGAGAUUGAUAUGAAUUGGAUACAAGAGUUGUAAAGAGUAUGUUGUUGCAUCUAGUGGAGAAAUUGCAGGAGCAGAUGACCUAGAAGGACAACAAUGAAGUGCGUUUAACUUUAUUUUGGUUUGUGGCAGCCAGAAGCAAGGAGUAGAAGCAGGUGUUGCAGGAAAUGAAACCGGCAAGUUGGAUGGAGUCUGCUAGCAGGUGGUUACAAUAGUUGAGUAGCAGGUGGUCUUGGUGAUUGCCAUGGGACUGAGGUGAUGCUGAAAUUCCUAGAUGUAUGUUAGGGUGUGAAUCAAGUAUGGGUUGUCUGGUGCUGAUGAUAAUGAAAUGAUGUUAGUGAUAAUGGCUAGGGCCUGAAUUACAGUGCUAGAACAGAUGGCAUUGCAGCUGCAGUUUAAGUGAAGGUUUAUGGAUCAGAUUGAGAUGAUGUGGUUGUGACAGGAAAAUGCAGUUGGUGUUUUUGUUGCAGAUGAAUGUUAUAGCUGAGUUAUGAUGGUGUUGUUGAUGGCAAUGCAAUGGAGCUAAAGCAGUGGGCACUGGUGAAUUGGUUUGUGGAAAAGUUUCUGCAGUUCUGGAGGAGAUGUUGCAAUGCAGAGUAGCGCCUGUGAUGCAGAAAAGAAGAUGCAGUUGGUAUGAGCUGAAGGUUACAGCGAAAGGUAUUGCACCGUGAUGGUGCAACACUGAAGAUAUGGAAGGCGCAUCAUUACAGUAUGGACUAUGAAAAUGGCUCAGGCCUUUGCAACUCUGGUCUAGAACCUAUUCAGCCGAGUCAGAUAGUUGACUCGGUUACUCCGUCAUUGACCGUUAGCUUGACCGUUGUGUUUGACGGCUGACUGUUAAGUUUGCGUCAAUUUUUUCGGUCGGCCCUCCCACUGUGGCAACGGUCAUCUAGUACCUCGUGUAUUAGAUUUUCCUUUUUUCUUUUUUCUUUUUGGGAUAUU